Molecule: ribosomal RNA, 253 nt
Filed under: uncultured bacterium
Lineage: Bacteria
Also listed under: 1 other name
Description: partial 16S ribosomal RNA
Rfam family: Bacterial small subunit ribosomal RNA
Source: RNAcentral
UACGAAGGGUGCAAGCGUUGUUCGGAUUUAUUGGGCGUAAAGAGCACGUAGGCGGGUCUGAAAGUCAGGUGUGAAAUCUUGGGGCUUAACCCCGAAACUGCGCCUGAAACUCCAGAUCUAGAAUAUCGGAGGGGAAAGUGGAAUUUCGCAUGUAGGGGUAAAAUCCGUAGAGAUGCGAAGGAACACCAGAGGCGAAGGCGACUUUCUGGACGAUUAUUGACGCUGAGGUGCGAAAGCGUGGGGAGCAAACAGG